UUCCAGACUCCUACGGGAGGCAGCAGUGGGGGAUAUUGCACAAUGGGGGGAACCCUGAUGCAGCGACGCCGCGUGGGUGAAGAAGUAUUUCGGUAUGUAAAGCCCUAUCGGCAGGGAAGAAUUUAGACGGUACCUGACUAAGAAGCCCCGGCUAACUACGUGCCAGCAGCCGCGGGAAUACGUAGGGGGCAAGCGUUAUCCGGAUUCACUGGGUGUAAAGGGAGCGUAGACGGCCAUGCAAGCCUGGAGUGAAAGCCCGGGGCCCAACCCCGGGACUGCUCUGGGAUCUGUGCGGCUGGAGUGCGGGAGGGGCAGGCGGAAUUCCUGGUGUAGCGGUGAAAUGCGUAGAUAUCAGGAGGAACACCGGCGGCGAAGGCGGCCUGCUGGACAUUAACUGACGCUGAGGCGCGAAAGCGUGGGGAGCAAACAGGAUUAGAUACCCGCGUA
Molecule: ribosomal RNA, 447 nt
Filed under: uncultured bacterium
Lineage: Bacteria
Description: bacterial SSU rRNA
Rfam family: Bacterial small subunit ribosomal RNA
Source: RNAcentral